Molecule: ribosomal RNA, 60 nt
Filed under: Morchella semilibera
Lineage: Eukaryota; Fungi; Ascomycota; Pezizomycetes; Pezizales; Morchellaceae
Description: partial 28S ribosomal RNA
Rfam family: Eukaryotic large subunit ribosomal RNA
Source: RNAcentral
UUUGACCUCGGAUCAGGUAGGGAUACCCGCUGAACUUAAGCAUAUCAAUAAGCGGAGGAC